This 310-nucleotide long non-coding RNA is filed under the name Elaeis guineensis (African oil palm). RNAcentral's name for it is "long non-coding RNA (EGUI_LNC070602)". Lineage: Eukaryota; Viridiplantae; Streptophyta; Magnoliopsida; Arecales; Arecaceae. The record is from RNAcentral.
CAGCGACUUAUGCUCGAUAGAAACUAUCAUCCUUAUUAACAGCCUAUCAUUUGGUCAUGAACAGUUUUAAGGACUAAUCGUUAAAUUCUCUCUUUAUCGAAUCUAAAUAGUCCUAAGGAUUUCAUCAUAACAAUAGAGUUCAUUAGAAGAUGAAUGCUUAUGAUGAAAGUGCCAAAUAUAUUUUAUUUAUUAACAAAUCAAUUACCAUACUUGGUUGCUCAACCGUCAACAGCUUAACGAUUGGCUUUUGGGAUAUAUUUUUCAACAAUUAUAAUCUUAAAAUAAUAAUUAGAUGCAGCAUAUAAUAAAU